RNAcentral lists this ribosomal RNA (443 nucleotides) under uncultured bacterium. RNAcentral describes it as "partial 16S ribosomal RNA". It matches the Rfam family "Bacterial small subunit ribosomal RNA", at positions 338 to 795 of the family's 1533-position model. The record is from RNAcentral.
CCUACGGGUGGCAGCAGUGGGGAAUAUUGGGCAAUGGGCGCAAGCCUGACCCCGCAACGCCGCGUGAAGGAAGAAGGCUUUCUGGUUGUAAACUUCUUUUCUCAGGGACGAAGCAAGUGACGGUACCUGAUGAAUAAGCCACGGCUAACUACGUGCCAGCAGCCGCGGUAAUACGUAGGUGGCAAGCGUUAUCCGGAUUUACUGGGUGUAAAGGGCGUGUAGGCGGGGACGCAAGUCAGAUGUGAAAACCACGGGCUCAACCUGUGGCCUGCAUUUGAAACUGUGUUUCUUGAGUACUGGAGAGGCAGACGGAAUUCCUAGUGUAGCGGUGAAAUGCGUAGAUAUUAGGAGGAACACCAGUGGCGAAGGCGGUCUGCUGGACAGCAACUGACGCUGAGGCGCGAAAGCGUGGGGAGCAAACAGGAUUAGAUACCCGGGUAGUC